Mycena vulgaris is the source of this 86-nucleotide non-coding RNA. NCBI's taxonomy places the organism in Eukaryota, Fungi, Basidiomycota, Agaricomycetes, Agaricales, Mycenaceae. The record is from the annotation of a GenBank genome assembly.
UCGGGUGUAGUGCACGGCGCACGGCAGCUUGCUGAGGUCACCAAGAAUGUAAGCCGCAGACCGGGGUUCGACUCCCCGCACCUGAC